RNAcentral lists this ribosomal RNA (253 nucleotides) under uncultured bacterium. Its description in RNAcentral is "partial 16S ribosomal RNA". It matches the Rfam family "Bacterial small subunit ribosomal RNA", at positions 524 to 776 of the family's 1533-position model. The record is from RNAcentral.
UACAGAGACUGCAAGCGUUAUUCGGAUUCACUGGGCGUAAAGGGUGCGUAGGCGGCCGAGUGUGUGAGUUGUGAAAGCCCGGGGCUUAACCCCGGAAUUGCACCUCAAACUACACGGCUAGAGCAUUGGAGAGGGUAGCAGAAUUCACGGUGUAGCAGUGAAAUGCGUAGAUAUCGUGAGGAAUACCAGAGGCGAAGGCGGCUACCUGGACAAUUGCUGACGCUCAGGCACGAAAGCGUGGGGAGCAAAAGGG